CCUACGGGAGGCAGCAGUGGGGAAUAUUGGACAAUGGGCGAAAGCCUGAUCCAGCAAUGCCGCGUGAGUGAUGAAGGCCUUAGGGUUGUAAAGCUCUUUUACCAGGGAUGAUAAUGACAGUACCUGGAGAAUAAGCUCCGGCUAACUCCGUGCCAGCAGCCGCGGUAAUACGGAGGGAGCUAGCGUUGUUCGGAAUUACUGGGCGUAAAGCGUACGUAGGCGGUUAUUCAAGUCAGAGGUGAAAGCCUGGAGCUCAACUCCAGAACUGCCUUUGAAACUAGAUAGCUAGAAUCUUGGAGAGGUGAGUGGAAUUCCGAGUGUAGAGGUGAAAUUCGUAGAUAUUCGGAAGAACACCAGUGGCGAAGGCGACUCACUGGACAAGUAUUGACGCUGAGGUACGAAAGCGUGGGGAGCAAACAGGAUUAGAUACCCUGGUAGUCCACGCCGUAAACGAUGAUAACUAGAUGUCGGUCGUCUACGACGCUUGUAGUGGUCGGCGAGACGUAACCGUACCGAUUAAGUUAAGUUACCGUCCGUCGGGGUAGGGUACGGUCGGCGAGAAGUUAAACUUAACUAAAUUAGUUAAGUUAGUUACGGUUCGUGAGACGUUGCCGACGGACGACGACGAGGGAGGAGG
RNAcentral lists this ribosomal RNA (637 nucleotides) under uncultured bacterium. Its description in RNAcentral is "bacterial SSU rRNA". The stretch from base 1 to 534 matches the Rfam family "Bacterial small subunit ribosomal RNA", at positions 338 to 873 of the family's 1533-position model. The record is from RNAcentral.